Long non-coding RNA from Gadus macrocephalus (Pacific cod), 1001 nucleotides. RefSeq lists it as uncharacterized. The record is from RefSeq and is a predicted model, not a curated record. The transcript has 2 exons. NCBI's taxonomy places the organism in Eukaryota, Metazoa, Chordata, Actinopteri, Gadiformes, Gadidae.
UGUCUGUGCGGUCCGACCAGAAGCAUGUGUAGUUCACUGAAGGGCCUAUAGGGGGCGCGUGGCAAUCGAUGCUUUUCUUCUUCUUUUGGGUUUGGUCCCAGGUGGCAGGUUCAGCUCCAUAUGAUGUAUUUUGGCAUUUUAUCUGCUGGUUGCAGAAAUGGUAAUCGAUUGCCCUCUCCAUGGCCGGCCAUGGAUAUAUAAUACGUAGAGACAGAAUAUAAAUAUAUUAACCAUAGGCGCUGUCAUGACUGAUCUCCUUCGCUUCAAAGCACUUUACUUGGUGAAGCUUGGAAGGUGGUGUUUCUACCUGGUUGAGCUGAGUUGGGUGGUGUUUCCAUCAGGUGAAGCUGGUCGGUGUUGUUUCUACCUGGUGAAGCUGGGUUUGUUAGGGUUUGUGUUUCUACCUGGUGAAGCUGGACAGUUGGUGUUUCUGAAUGGUAAAGCUAGGAAGGUGGUGUUUCUACCUGGGGAACCUUGGUAGGUGCUGUUUCUUCCUGGUGAAGCUGUUUAGGUGGUGUUUCUGCAAACCUCAGGCCUCGCUGUGGUCUUCCUGGGCAAUUCUCCUUCCUGCCGUCUGUUUGAUCUCUCAGAAGGCCGCUGGUGUCAUUUUGUUAUCCCAGCACGAUGGGCGCUGGCGUUGUUUAUCCCGCGGGUCACGGCUAGGGCUGGCCCGAAUUAUUCGAAUAUUCGAAUACUCGUUCGGAAAAUUAGUAUUCAAAGCUUAAAUCAGUAUUCGGAGCUUCGUUGUUGUUUUUUUUCACGUAGGCCUACGUGACGUUACCAGAGCGAGGGAGGCAAACUAUAAGCGUCAGCGACACCAAGCAGAGAAGCGAGAGAGGUGGAGGAAAAAUAGAUAUCUUGUUUCCCUUUACUUUAUAACACAACAUUAGCGGGAUCUCUGGAGGAAAAGUAAUACUUAAAACCUUAGCUUAGUUGUUUGUUUACGUUCGCUGUACAGCGCCGCGCCAAUCAACUGUGACUGGCUUGCUGCAGAGCGUGAG